GACGAACGCUGGCGGCGUGCCUAAUACAUGCAAGUAGAACGCUGAAGCGAGGAGCUUACUCUUCUUGGAUGAGUUGCGAACGGGUGAGUAACGCGUAGGUAACCUGCCUUGUAGCGGGGGAUAACUAUUGGAAACGAUAGCUAAUACCGCAUAACAAUGGAUGACACAUGUCAUUUAUUUGAAAGGGGCAAUUGCUCCACUACAAGAUGGACCUGCGUUGUAUUAGUUAGUAGGUGAGGUAAUGGCUCACCUAGGCGACGAUACAUAGCCGGCCGGAGAGGGUGAUCGGCCACACUGGGACUGAGACACGGCCCAGACUCCGACGGGAGGCAGCAGUAGGGAAUCUUCGGCAAUGGGGGCAACCCUGACCGAGCAACGCCGCGUGAGUGAAGAAGGUUUUCGGAUCGUAAAGCUCUGUUGUAAGUCAAGAACGGGUGUGAGAGUGGAAAGUUCACACUGUGACGGUAGCUUACCAGAAAGGGACGGCUAACUACGUG
RNAcentral lists this ribosomal RNA (497 nucleotides) under uncultured bacterium. RNAcentral describes it as "partial 16S ribosomal RNA". It matches the Rfam family "Bacterial small subunit ribosomal RNA", at positions 28 to 507 of the family's 1533-position model. The record is from RNAcentral.